CCCUUAGAUGUUAUGGGCCGCACGCGCGCUACACUGAUGCAUUCAACGAGUCUAAAACCUGCUCUGAUAGGGGUGGGUAAUCUUUUGAAUGUGCAUCGUGAUUGGGAUAGAUGAUUGCAAUUUUUCAUCUUCAACGAGGAAUGCCUAGUAAACGCAAGUCAUCAGCUUGCAUUGAUUACGUCCCUGCCCUUUGUACACACCGCCCGUCGCUCCUACCGAUUGAAUGAUCCGAUGAAUAUCAUGGAUUGAGGAUGCAAGUAGGUUCGCCUAUCUUCAUCUUCGAGAAGUGAAGUAAAUCUUAUCAUUUAGAGGAAGGAGAAGUCGUAACA
Molecule: ribosomal RNA, 329 nt
Filed under: uncultured eukaryote
Lineage: Eukaryota
Description: partial 18S ribosomal RNA
Rfam family: Eukaryotic small subunit ribosomal RNA
Source: RNAcentral